Molecule: long non-coding RNA, 501 nt
Organism: Mus musculus (house mouse)
Lineage: Eukaryota; Metazoa; Chordata; Mammalia; Rodentia; Muridae
Product: predicted gene 10523
Exons: 3
Source: RefSeq, a predicted model, not a curated record
UUGAUUUAAUAAAGUGCAUCUGUGUGCUGUAGCAGGUCAGUGUCAUCGUGGCGCGAAUCCAACAGCUGCUUCCUCUUUAAUGGGCAGUGAUGGAGAACUUCUCCUGAGUUCAAACAUGACGAAGAUCUUCCCUUCUCACCUCUUCUAGUCAACACACCCGGGAGUUUCCAACCAGCAAAACCAGACGAGAAAAAUAAGUUUAAGGCAUGUGCACAGGAAGGAAAAGGUAAGACAAUGUCUACCAACCACCCAAUGGCUGUAUUUUCGCCUGUCUUCCAACUCUCCUUUCUUUUUGGAGCUCGAGUCAGGAAGGAUGUUGUCCGGGGAAUGCCUGCCUUAUCCAACAGUUCAUUCCAGUGGCAGCCUUGCUCCACGACUUAGGCAUGUUCCAUGUUGAGAUGGGUCCUGAGUGCCAAGUGACACGAUGUUUACUGAUAGAAGAAAGCAAAUGAUGUGUAAUGGAGCUUCCUUCCUUCCUUCCUUCCUUCCUUCCUUCCUUCU